GCUCCGAUGAUGCAAUUGGAAGACAUGACCGACUUAAAAUCGGUUUGUUGCGAGUUCGACUCUCGCUCGGAGUACCA
This 77-nucleotide transfer RNA is filed under the name Exilibacterium tricleocarpae. RNAcentral describes it as "Cellvibrionaceae bacterium R142 tRNA-Leu". It matches the Rfam family "tRNA". Rfam says of the family: Transfer RNA (tRNA) molecules are approximately 80 nucleotides in length. Their secondary structure includes four short double-helical elements and three loops (D, anti-codon, and T loops). Further hydrogen bonds mediate the characteristic L-shaped molecular structure. tRNAs have two regions of fundamental functional importance: the anti-codon, which is responsible for specific mRNA codon recognition, and the 3' end, to which the tRNAs corresponding amino acid is attached (by aminoacyl-tRNA synthetases). tRNAs cope with the degeneracy of the genetic code in two manners: having more than one tRNA (with a specific anti-codon) for a particular amino acid; and 'wobble' base-pairing, i.e. permitting non-standard base-pairing at the 3rd anti-codon position. The record is from RNAcentral. Lineage: Bacteria; Pseudomonadati; Pseudomonadota; Gammaproteobacteria; Cellvibrionales; Cellvibrionaceae.